Non-coding RNA from Oryctolagus cuniculus (rabbit), 5838 nucleotides. NCBI's taxonomy places the organism in Eukaryota, Metazoa, Chordata, Mammalia, Lagomorpha, Leporidae. The record is from RefSeq and is a predicted model, not a curated record.
GUUCAAAGUUUAAUAUCACAAUUUCAGUUUGAAUUUGGUAAUGGAGUUUCUGUUGCAUUGGAGAAUCUCAACAGAUGAUGUUGGAAUUUUUAAAAAAGAAGUUUGUGCUUAUUAGAAUAUCUAGUAUUGGUAGCUGUGAUUCUCUCAAUUUUGUGUGGGUGCAUGAGUACAUGUGCGUGUGUUGUUGUGAUAGUAAAAUAUAACACUUUAAUUCUAAAAUUAGUUGGUUAGAAAAGGGGGUGGGAAGUAGUGGAAUAAUCCAAGAUUUUAACUGAUUUUGAAGCAUUGGCCCUUGGUUAUAAUUUUUCUCUUAAAACUCCAUAAAACAAAAGUUACUUUUUCUCUCAGUGCUUAGUUUGCUUUGUCUAAGUGGAGAUGGAAGGCCAGUUAAAUAAAAAGCAGCUCAGUUUGAUGUCAGUUCGUACUGAUACUAUUACUGUUGACUUUAGUAUAAAGAUUUAAAUGACAAUAGCAAACAUGUGAAUGCGAUGUAAUUUGAAUUGCAGUGCUAGGUUUUAAACUGAAAUGAUUGGAAAUUGCUUCCUUUUCUCUGAAGAAAGGAAUUUCUCAUUGCAGAAUCUACGAUUAAGCGCCUUUGACCCGAGGAUCUCAAAGUGCUUUACAAACACUAAUGAAUUAAUCCUCACAACACCCCAGUGAGAUGGCUGCAGUGGCUGGAGCUGGGCCGAUCAGGAGCCAGGAGCCAGGAGCUGCUUUUUGGGUCUCCCACAAGGGUGCAGGGGCCCAAGCACUUGGGUCAUCUUCAACUGCUUUCCAAGGCACAUUAGCAGGCUGCUCUGGAAGCAGUGCAUCCAAGACUCAAACAAGUACCUUUAUGGGACACCAGCACUGCAGACAGCAGCUUUGCCCACUACACCAUAGCACCAGCUCCAUGAGUAAAUCUUACUAUGACUUAAUUUGUAUUUUCUUGAUUAAGGUUGAGCUUCUUUUGUUGUUGAUUGGCUGUUUGCAUAUUGUCUUUUGUGAAGUUCCUAAUAAAAUCCCCUACAAUUUUCCCUCUGGGUUGUCAUUUUCCUUGUUGUUUUGUAGAGUUUCUUUACACUUCUUGCAUUAAUAAACAAAAAUUUGGUUACACAGGUGGGAAAUGUCUUCCAUUCUUUGAAAUACUUUUUAAACAGGAGGGUGUUUCCAUUAUUCUUUAGAAUAUCACUGCCUAAUACAGUAGGAGACCCUAGUUCUAUAUGGUUAUUUAGAGUUAAAUUAAUUAAAGGUAAGUAAAAUUAUAAAUUCCCUUGCUUCAUCACAGUAACCACAUUCUAGGUGCUUACUAUGUGGUUAGUAGCAACCCUAUUGGAAAAUAAAGAUAGAUUAUGUCCAUAAUUGCAGAAAAGUUCCACUGGACAGUGUUGUCCUAGAACCUCAUUAUUGUAACUUCACAUUUAUAUCUCUGAUUGACCUGCAGUUGAUUUACAUGAGUGGUUUAAGGUAGAAGUUAAGCUUUAUUUUAUUUUGUAUGAUUAGCCCAUGGACCUAUCAUUUAGUGAAAGGACUAUCCUUUCCCCUUGGCACAGCAUGGCUAGUGUCCAGUGUUGUCAUAAUUCAGGGCUAUUUUUAUACCAUCUAUUCAGUUUCAUUGAUAUGUUUAUCCUUUUGCCAGUACUACUCUCUGUCUUCAUUACUUUGCUUUAAGAUUUGGAUGUGAUAUAGAAUCCUUAUGGAUUCUGUUUGCAUCUGUUUUGAACAUGUAAAAAUCUAAUUUUGUACACAGUGAUUUUGAUAUAUGUUAGGUGUGUCCGUGUUUAUUUCAGAGCUGAAUUCUUGCUUCUUCAGGUUUACUUUAGGUUUAAUUAAUUUAUUUUAAAGGCAUAGAAACAGACAAACAGACUUCUAUAUGCUGUGGUUUAUUUCUGGGCCAGGCUGAGGACAGGAGCCAGGAACUCAGUCUACAUCUCCCACCUAGGUUGUAGGGACCUAACUAAUUGAGCUGUCAUUUGAUGCUUGCCAGGGUGUGCAUCAGCAGCAAGCUGAAUUCAGGAGUGGUACCUGGACUCAAAUCCAGGUACUCUGAUAUGGGAUGUGAGCAUCUCAAAUAGCACUUUUUUUUUUUUUUUAUGAUUUAUUUAUUUAGGCCAGCGCCGUGGUUCAAUAGGCUAAUCCUCUGCCUGCAGCGCCAGCACACGGGGUUCUAGAGCUGGGCCGAUCUGAAGCCAGAAGCCAGGAGUUUCCUCUAGAUCUCCCACACUGGUACAGGGGUUCAAGCACUUGGAUCAUUGUACACUAGCUUCCCAGGCUGUAGCAGAGAACUGGAUUGGAAGUGGGGCAGCUUGGUCUUGAACCAGCGCCCAUAUGGGAUACUAGCACUGCAGGCAGCAGCUUUACCCUCUACAUCUCAGCACCAGCCCCUCCCCCGCAUUGGCAUCUUAACCAUUAGUUCAGACCAGAUCCCCCCGCCGCCCCCCCCCCCGCCAUUAAGUCAUUUUGUUGUUACUAUUUAUUUAAGUCUUUAUUGGAUGUCUGUAAUGUGCCAAACACUGUUUCAGGUGUUGUAGAUAAAACACUUCUCAAUUUAUUACAAAAAAUUUUAUGUAAAUAGAUUGUAUGAUGGAAGAAAAUAUAUUCUCAUGGUGGUUAUAAAGACAAGCUGAGAAAAAGAGAAGAAAAACGGCAAGAAAACCCAAGUAGGAAGCACUAAAAAAGGUGUCAGAAUCCUUUUAUAAGUAUAGGAGAGUUUCUAAAACAAAAACAAAGCCUUCUGGGCCAGCGCCGUGGCUCACUUGGUUAGUCCUCUGUCUAUGGCACCGCCAUCCCAUUUGGGUGAAAGGUUCUAGUCCCGGCUGUUCCUCUUCCAGUCCAGCUCUCUGCUGUGGCCUGGGAGGGCAGUCAGUGGAAAAUGGCCCAAGUGCUGGGGCCCCUGCACCCGGGUGGGAGACCAGGAGGAAGCACCUGGCUCCCGGCUUCGGAUUGGUGCAGCGCUGGCCGUAGCAGGCAUUUGGGGAGUGAACCAACGCAAGGAAGACCUUUUUCUCUGUCUCUCUGUCUCUGUCUCUUUCUCUCUCUCUCUCUCACUCACUGUUUAUAACUCUACUUGUCAAAUAAAUAUAAAAAAGAAAAGCCUUCUUUGACUUCAAUUCUCAUUUGAGUGACACAGUGUUGAAGGCAUGGAAUUCUCAGACUUGGCCACACACUUCCUGCAGAGAGAACUGUGCUGUCUUGUUUGUUAUUAUGUGACUGCUCCUCCCCAAGUUUGAGGAAGGUCCCACUGCCAGCUCACAGCUCAGCUCUCUGCAGCCCACUGUGGUUUACCACUCACAUGUAUUUGUUUUCUGUUAGUACUACUGUUGUCUCAUGCCAUUCUUUGUCCCAUGGGUUUGUCUUUAAAAAUUUCUUUAAAAUUUGUCUUUAAAAAUUUCUUUAAAAUUUCAGUGAGAUUUCAGGAGGGAGGGAUGCUAAUGCUUGUGUUCAAUCCUGCAUCUUUAACUUUUUAAGCCUAAUUCUCCUAGUCAUGCUUUUUCUCCCUGAUGCAAGGAGAUGGCACUUCUUGAAGUGCAAUGAGACUGCUAAGACAACUCCAUGAUUGUGUUUUCAGAUCUUGUAAUAGAUCAUAUGUGGACCGUGUUCUUGAGCAUGAUGUUCAUGUUCUGUUGGAGGAAGUAUUUUCAUAGUUUUGUGCUUUUCCAUGUUAAUCAUUAAAUAUGAGUUGAGUGAGUAGCCUGUCCUUGGCUCUUUAUAUUGCUUAACUAAAUUGUAUGGACCUUAAUUUCUACUUUUAACUAAAGUUUUACAUAGAUAGUUAUUUGAAGGCGGGGAAUCUGUGUUAAGUCUGUACGCUCUAGGACUUAGUAUACCAUGAGUACUGAAGACUCUUGUUUAAACUUUAAAUGAAAAGCCAAAGUUUAAAAUCUGUCAUUGCUACUAAAAAUUAAACUGUUGUUUGAUGCAUUGUCUUUGUCUUGAUAUAAUGAUGAACCUGUGAGGCUGAAUAAUUUUAGGUAGAAUAUUUAUGAUAUUUGUUCUAAAGUGAAAUUUGAGUUAUAUAUACAUUUAAUGUGUCAAAGUAUCUAAUUUGAUAUAUGAAUAUAGUAAGAACAAGGAUCAGAAUUUGACUUCAUUUCCUGCACUUCCCUGUUCUUUUGUAUACUCUGCAUUUUUAACAUUGGCAUACACACUAAUAGGUGAUACUGGUAUCUGAGGGUUCGGAUAUAAAUAAAUAAAUAAUCCAGAUCACAAGCUACUAGAAAAAUUAUGUACAUACAAGAUGAUGCAGUUAAAUUUCUUUUGAUUUGGAGGAACAUGAUGGUCUGCUGUUAUCAAGUAAUUCUGGUACUUAAAAGAAUUGACUGUGAUACCCAAUUGUACGUUUUUAUUUAAACUACUUUUUUGUAUAUUCUUUUUUAACUAGACUUUUAAUGCUUUUGAUUUAGGUGUUUUAAUUGUGUGAUGAUAGAUCAGAGGGUGAAAUUCUAAACAUGAUUUCAACUCUCACUUUUGCUGAGGUAUUGUUAACUGAAAUAGUUAACUAGUAAUUUGUUUAUGCCAUAGCUUAAAUAAUAUUUUUGGAAACAAGUCAUCAUCAGGUGUAAUACUCAGAACAAGGGUGAUUAGGGAGGGCAAGCAGUUGUUGAUGAAGGUACGUGAGGAUACUCUUGGGUAAUGUUGAAUGUGGACUUUAUCAGAUCUGGGUAACAGUGACUUUGGAGUGGGAGUAGGGGUCAAAUGGAGUCAUUUCAUUCACCUGUUGUGAGAGUUUUUCAUCAGUAAAAUAAUCAAAAGGCAUUUUGAAAAGGAGAGAACUCUCUGUCCUCUCUCUCUCUCUCUACCUAUCAAAUAAAAAAAAGGGGGGGAGAGGAAAACAUUGUCUUAAGUGAUAGAUUGGAAAUUGACCUCCUAAAAUGGGCAAAAAAAAAAAAAAAAAGUUUGCCUCAGCCAGCUGUUUCUGAGCAAACUUCUUUAAUCUUUACUUUUUAAAAGAACUUCCUUAUUAUGCACACUUGAACUCAAAAAUUUUUUUAAUCUGUGUGCCUAUACUAUUUACUAUGUAUUAUAAAUUGACCAGGUUUAUCCAUAUUCUCUUUAAAAUUUAUUUAGUUUAUUUGGAAGACAGAGAGACAAGAAGGAGCGCUCUCAUCUGCCAGUUCACUCCUCUAAUGCCUGCAACAGCCAGGGCUGUGCCAAGCCAAACUCAGGAACUCUUUUGGAUUUCCCAUGUGGAUGGCAGGGUCUCAAGUAGUUGAGCUGUCACCCGGGAUGUGCAUUAGCAGACAGCUGGGAUGGAGAUUGGCGCUGGUAUUAAAAUCCAAGUACUCUGAUAUGAGAUGGAGACACCAGGAGCUGCAGCUUAACUGAUGAAGCAAACACCCAUCUUAGAUCCAUAUUUAAUAUUUUUUUAGUGAAUAAAGUUUAUUUAUUGCUUUAUUUCAACCUCCCUCCCUUCAAACUUUCUUAUUUCUUGAAAACUUUUUUAUUAUUCAUUUGGAAGGCAAUUAGAGAGAGGGAGAGACAGAGAUUUUUCAUCCCACUAGUUCACUCCCCAAAUGGCCACAAUGGCCAGGGCUGUCCCAGACUGAAGCCAGGAGCCAGUAGCUUCCUCCAGUUCUCCCCAUGGGGCCCAAGCACUUGGGCCAUCUUGAGCUGUUUUCCCAGGUACAUUAGUGGGAGAGCUGGAUUGAAAGUGGAGCAGCAGUGUGAUGCAGGCAUCACAUAGAUUGUUUUUUUACCCGCUAUACCACAGUGUCUGCUCCUCCUUGAAAACCUUUAAAGAUAAAUAAUCUAAUUAUAUGUAAAGGGCCCCUAAUAGGCUGCCAGAGUUCACAGGGUUAAUUGAUCACAUUUGGUUUCUCUGAAAUAUUUCUCAACAGUGGUCCAAAUAUGUUUGUUUCC